RNAcentral lists this ribosomal RNA (493 nucleotides) under uncultured bacterium. RNAcentral's name for it is "partial 16S ribosomal RNA". It matches the Rfam family "Bacterial small subunit ribosomal RNA", at positions 29 to 523 of the family's 1533-position model. The record is from RNAcentral.
AUUGAACGCUGGCGGCAUGCUUUACACAUGCAAGUCGAACGGUAACAGGUUAAGCUGACGAGUGGCGAACGGGUGAGUAAUGCAUCGGAACGUGCCCGGUCGUGGGGGAUAACGCAGCGAAAGCUGCGCUAAUACCGCAUACGAUCUGAGGAUGAAAGCGGGGGGCCGUAAGGCCUCGCGCGAUCGGAGCGGCCGGUGUCAGAUUAGGUAGUGGGUGGGGUAAAGGCUCACCAAGCCAACGAGCUGUAGCUGGUCUGAGAGGACGACCAGCAGGCCUGGGACUGAGACACGGCCCAGACUCCUACGGGAGGCAGCAGUGGGGAAUUUUGGACAAUGGGCGAAAGCCUGAUCCGGCAAUGCCGCGGGCAGGAAGAAGGCCUUCGGGUUGUAAACUGCUUUUGUACGGAGCGAAAAGGUCUCCUCUAAUACAGGGGGCUCAUGACGGUACCGUAAGAAUAAGCACCGGCUAACUACGUGCCAGCCGCCGCCGUAA